Molecule: ribosomal RNA, 490 nt
Filed under: uncultured bacterium
Lineage: Bacteria
Description: partial 16S ribosomal RNA
Rfam family: Bacterial small subunit ribosomal RNA
Source: RNAcentral
AGUGAACGCUGGCGGCAGGCUUAACACAUGCAAGUCGAACGGCAGCACAAGAGAGCUUGCUCUAUGGGUGGCGAGCGGCGGACGGGUGAGUAAUGUCUGGGAAACUGCCUGAUGGAGGGGGAUAACUUCGGGAAACGGUAGCUAAUACCGCAUACCGCCUCCGGACCAAAGCGGGGGACCUUCGGGCCUCUCGCCAUCAGAUGAGCCCAGAUGGGAUUAGCUAGUAGGUGGGGUAAUGGCCCACCUAGGCGACGAUCCAUAGCUGGUCUGAGAGGAUGACCAGCCACACUGGAACUGAGACACGGUCCAGACUCCUACGGGAGGCAGCAGUAGGGAAUAUUGCACAAUGGGCGCAAGCCUGAUGCAGCCAUGCCGCGUGUGUGAAGAAGGCCUUCGGGUUGUAAAGCUCUUUUAUCGGGGAGGAAAGGCGUGAACUUAAUACGUUCAUCAAUUGACGGUACUCGCAGAAGAAGCACCGGCUAACUCCGUG